UUCUGUAUAUGCAGCAUGUUACUAAAACUGGAACGAUACAGAGAAGAUUAGCACGGUCCUUAUUGCUGUCUUUUCUUUAAUUUUUUGAAUUUUUAU
Non-coding RNA from Podarcis lilfordi (Lilford's wall lizard), 96 nucleotides. Lineage: Eukaryota; Metazoa; Chordata; Lepidosauria; Squamata; Lacertidae. The record is from the annotation of a GenBank genome assembly.